GUGAAUCAUCGAAUCUUUGAACGCACAUUGCGCCCUCUGGUAUUCCGGGGGGCAUGCCCGUUCGAGCGUCAUUACAACCCUCAAGCUCUGCUUGGUGUUGGGCAGCACUGCCCGGUGCGCCCCAAAACCAGUGGCGGCGCCGUCUGGCUUCAAGCGUAGUAACACUUCUCGCUUCGGGACCAGGCGUGCUCCUGCCAGCAACCCACACUUUUCAAAGGUUGACCUCGGAUCGGGUAGGGAUACCCGCUGAACUUAAGCAUAUCAAUAAGCGGAGGA
This 276-nucleotide unclassified non-coding RNA is filed under the name Pragmopora sp. Its description in RNAcentral is "partial contains 5.8S ribosomal RNA, internal transcribed spacer 2, and large subunit ribosomal RNA". The stretch from base 1 to 71 matches the Rfam family "5.8S ribosomal RNA", at positions 84 to 154 of the family's 154-position model. Lineage: Eukaryota; Fungi; Ascomycota; Leotiomycetes; Leotiales; Tympanidaceae. The record is from RNAcentral.